GGGAGGAUGUUUUGCAGCAUCGGCAGCGAAAUGUCAUCUGUUUCUAUGGUUACCGGACGCCGGAGGACGCAUCUGCUAGUAGCUUUCCAUGGAUGCGUGCAUGAGAGGACGCGCGCUUUAAUGUCUGUUUGUUGUGAAGUGCAAAUGCUGGCUGCAACUCCAAAGAUGUAUAAAAACAAACUGGCGUGACGUCACACAAAAGAGACAACCCAGCUUCCGUUUUCAGGGAAGCGGAUGAAUGACUUUCUCAAGUCUGACAAACGAGCAAUACAUCAAUAGGCCUACUUGUUAUUUUUCUUAACGGAUUAAAGUGACUUUGUCGUCGUUGAAGUUAAGUUUAGUGUAGCGAAGGACUAUCUGUUUGGACAGCAACAGGAAAGGAUGCGAAGGAAUCAGAAAUACAGAAAGAAGCUGGCACAUUUUUGCAGAAAAACUUGAAUCAGCAAAGGAGCAACUCGUAAAAACCAAAUCGAAAUCAAUCUCAUUGAUGAAAUUGUUUCUGCAUUAAAUAGUGACUGAAUAGUGGCAAUCAAAAUGCACAGCAAGAGCCUUGCCUUGAUUAUUCCUUCUGCUUGCAGGUCCAGCUUUGCGAGGAUGGAGGCGCACGCUACAGUAAAUGUCAGGCCAGGAAGGAUGAUGCUUGUUUUCUCAAGCAGGUUUCACUACAAUACAGCAUGUGGACAUUAAACGAAGACAACAAUUCAGCAUGAAACCGA
Molecule: long non-coding RNA, 716 nt
Organism: Triplophysa dalaica
Lineage: Eukaryota; Metazoa; Chordata; Actinopteri; Cypriniformes; Nemacheilidae
Exons: 4
Source: RefSeq, a predicted model, not a curated record